AGAGAUAUACAAUUAAAAUCUCAUUAAGUUUCAAUUAAAGACUACAAAAAACCAAUUGAUGAAUAGUAGAGACACAGGGCAGCUUUAAAACAUGUUAAAUGUUGAUACCAGUUUUUCUCGAGCAUUCCACAGACUGAUCUGAUCAUAUUCUUCUUGAUGAAAGCGUUGGCUUGGGGACUAUGAUGCAUCUCCUGUUUCACGUUUUCUUCUAGUGAGACCCAGCAACGCUGGUGUGGAGGGAUUCUGGCGUGUUGCAGAGCAAGGGCUUUAUACUGAGGAUAUCAGUGGAGACUAAUUAAAUAAAGGGUUCAGCAUGAGCUGAGCACUGGUGCUGGAUAAGAAGAAGGAAAAUAUCAGGAGAGCUGGGGAGAAAGCUUUCAGGUCUGAGGAACCAGGGCAGGAGAAGGUUAGCCUCUGCGACUGAAAUAAAAAGGUUCUGUGAGCAAAUUCCUGCCCAAACCCCUACAUGCCAGACACAUUUAGAGUUGCUCUGCUAUCAGGUGAUGGUCACAGUAUUUAGCAGCUGGUGCCACACUAGAGCAGAACAGAUCUUGAAGGCCACCUGCAGUGCAGACAUCUAUACUUUAGUUGUUGGACUGAAGUCACCUUGAGGACUGAGGGUAAAGCAACUCCUCACUAAUACAUUGGGAAAUAUUUAAAUAUUUUAAUAAUAAUUUUUUAAAUAAUAACUUU
RNAcentral lists this long non-coding RNA (693 nucleotides) under Vulpes vulpes (red fox). RNAcentral's name for it is "lncRNA (ENSVVUG00000026344.1)". Lineage: Eukaryota; Metazoa; Chordata; Mammalia; Carnivora; Canidae. The record is from RNAcentral.